GACGAACGCUGGCGGCGUGCUUAACACAUGCAAGUCGAACGAAGAGCGAUGGAAGCUUGCUUCUAUUAAUCUUAGUGGCGAACGGGUGAGUAACGCGUAAUAAACCUGCCCUCCAGAGGGGGACAACAGUCGGAAACGAGGGCUAAUACCGAAAACGAUCUAACCUCGGCAUCGAGGAAAGAUGAAAGGUGGCCACUACAUGUAACCUAUCACCGAAGGAGGGGAUUGUGGCUGAUUAGCUGGAUGGUGGGGUAACGGCCCACCAAGUCGCUGAUCAGUCGCCGGGCUGAGAAGAUGAACGGCCACAUUGGGACUGAGACACGGCCCAGACUCCUACGGGAGGCAGCAGGGGGGAAUCUUCCGCAAUGGACGAAAGUCUGACGGAGCAACGCCGCGUGAGUGAUGACGGCCGUCGGGUUGUAAAGCUCUGUUAAUCGGGACGAAAGGCCUUCUUGCGAAUAGUGAGAAGGAUUGACGGUACCGGAAUAGAAAGCCACGGCUAACUACGUG
RNAcentral lists this ribosomal RNA (510 nucleotides) under uncultured bacterium. Its description in RNAcentral is "partial 16S ribosomal RNA". It matches the Rfam family "Bacterial small subunit ribosomal RNA", at positions 28 to 507 of the family's 1533-position model. The record is from RNAcentral.